Molecule: non-coding RNA, 47 nt
Organism: Oryzias latipes (Japanese medaka)
Lineage: Eukaryota; Metazoa; Chordata; Actinopteri; Beloniformes; Adrianichthyidae
Source: Rfam
UCAAAGGCUCCUUUAGGAGCCAAAACAGAGAGGGACAGGUUUUUAUU